Long non-coding RNA from Panthera uncia (snow leopard), 2183 nucleotides. RefSeq lists it as uncharacterized. The transcript is spliced from 4 exons. NCBI's taxonomy places the organism in Eukaryota, Metazoa, Chordata, Mammalia, Carnivora, Felidae. The record is from RefSeq and is a predicted model, not a curated record.
UGUGUCACCCAAAAAGAUUCAUUGAAAUCCAAAGCCUCAUUCUGUGAAUGUGAACUUACUUGAAAGUAUGGUCUUUUCAAAUAUAGUCUGGUCAAAAUGAGGUCACAUUAGUUUAGGGUGGACCCUAAUCCAAUAUGACUGGUGUCCUUCUAGGAAGAGAAGAGACACAGGGGGAAAACACCCAUGUGAUAACAGAGGUAGAGAUUGAAGAGGUGCAGCUGGCAAGCUAAGGAAAGUCAAGGAUUGCUGGGAAGCUACCAGAACUUGGAAGAGGCAAGGGAAAAUUCAUUCUCCUCUACAGACUGCAGAGGGAGCACAGGCUUGCCUGCAGCUUGAUUUCACACUUCUAAUCUCCAGAUUUGUGAGACAAUAAAUUGCUGUCCAUUGUUCAUGAUACUUUGUUACAGCAGCCCUAGGAAAGUAGUAUGUGGUGAAAAGGUAGAGAUGUUGGUGCCUGUCAAUCAUUUGCCAUAUCAGACCUGGGACAAUUUGAUUUUAUGGUAUUAUUCUCCUACCUCAAAGAACUGCAUGGCUGAUAUUAAUAUAUUUUAAAUUAUAGUGAAGUAAGAGUAAUCCUGUUUUUAAAAAUUUGUUCACACUUCUUGAGACAUCUUUGGGCAUCCUUCCUCUAAAUCGAGACCACUAAACGUUUCCAUUCCUGAAUUCACCAAGAUGUCACAUUUUUUAACGUGCUGCAUUCUCAUCAGUUCUGGAAAAUUCUCACCGUUCUUUUAAUAUGGGUUAUCUUCUUACAGGCAUUCUCCAUUGUAACAAUAAUGUUGCAUAACAAACAUCGACAAAACUUGUGUUUUGAUUAGCGAUGAACGUUAAUUUAAAUGAUGGGCUGUGGGAUUCAUCUGAUCUGGGUUAAGGUUGAUUGAUUUGGUCAGGCUGCUCAUGCUUAUGUGAUCAGCUGUGGAUUAUCUAGGCAUCUUUGUUUAUCUUGGCUAGGUUUACUCCCAUACUUGGGAUCUGCACUUUGCCACCUGAUCUAGGUUGUCUUCAGUUGGGAUGGCUGGUAACUUGGCUCUGUGUCAUAUUGUUCAUCUUCCAGGAUGCCGGUCAUGCAUGUUCUCUUGGCAUGCACAGAGCUCAGGAGAUAAGCAGGAAGUGUAAGGACUUCUCAAGUCUUUGCUCAUGUUAUAUCUGCUAACAACCCAUUGGCUAAAUCAAACCAUAUGGCUUACCUCGGAAUUGAAAGAGUUCUGGAUAACUGAACAAUGAACUUAACUGAACAAGGAGUCCAUGAAUUCCUCAUCCACCAUGAUAUGUUCUCCUUAAAUGACCAACUUAAAGAAUUUCUUCACUCCUGUGUGCACUCUUGUCCUUUGUCUGGUAUGGAGAGUGUCAUUGUUGACAAGGUGUCACAGCAGCACCAACAUUUUGCUGACCAGCCAGAUGGGUUUUGACAGCUUCACUGAAAAAGGACACAGUGUGAUCGAGAUACCAAUAUUAAGAGUGAAUACAAAACAUAAGAAGUGACAAAAGCUCACCUAAGACCUAUAAUAAAUGAUUCUGGAGCCAUAUUAAGUUCCAUCUUUAAAUUCUACUUCCAGAAAGAUCUCUUGACGCUGAUACUGGUGGUCUAUCAGAACCACUCCAAGGAAGCCUGCUGCAAGUAUUGAUUUCAAGGCCUAGCCCCCGGAGAUUCUGCAGGAAGUCUGAGGUGCACCUGGGCACCUGUAAUUGUUUAAGAAGCUCCAUAGGUGGUUCAGACACACAGCUAGGUUUUAAAACCAUGCCUGAUGACCUCAAGCAGUUUUGACUCAGAGAUGCAGUCAUAUAUCUUGAAAUGUUAGGCCUCUCUGCUAAAAUGUCCUUCUGUUCUCUACUUCUGAUUUAAAGACAGAGGAAGAUUUAUUUUUCUUUCUUUAUCUACUCCGUUGGCAAUAACACAAUAGUAUUGGAGUCUUUAAAACCGGUCUCAUCUGGCUUUGCUUCCUAUGGGAGGAAGAAAUAAGUGAUUUAUCAUUUUGGAAAACAUAAAUUGAAAUUCUAGGGCCAGCAUGGCAUCAGAGAGUCCCAUGAGAACCUUUCCCUUUAGGCAAGACAGAACACCAGAAUUUCUAAAUCUACUUUCAUUCCCUCUGAGUGCCCCAGCUCGUCCUACCUCGUCUUCAGGAAGUACAGAAGUUAGAAACAACAAGGAUAUUUGGUGUUUAAAGCUCUUGAAAAUAUUUGCC